AACGAACGCUGGCGGCGUGCCUAACACAUGCAAGUCGAGCGCGAAAGUUCCUUCGGGAGCGAGUAGAGCGGCGGACGGGUGAGUAAUACAUAGGUAAUCUACCUUCGAGCUUGGGAUAACCCCGCGAAAGUGGGGCUAAUACCGGAUAAGACCACGUAAUUAUUUUACGGGGUAAAAGGUGGCUUAUUUUUUAAAUGAGCUAUCACUUGAGGAUGAGCCUGUGGCCUAUCAGCUAGUUGGCGGGGUAAGAGCCCACCAAGGCUAUGACGGGUAGCUGGUCUGAGAGGACGACCAGCCACACUGGGACUGGGACACGGCCCAGCCUCCUACGGGAGGCAGCAGUGGGGAAUAUUGGGCGAUGGGCGAAAGCCUGACCCAGCGACGCCGCGUGGGCGAUGAAGGCCUUCGGGUUGUAAAGCCCUGUCAUGCGGAAAGAACGACCCUGAGACGCAUACUCUCAGGGAGUGACGGUACCGCAGGAGGAAGCACCGGCUAACUCCGUGCCAGCAGCCGCCGUAA
RNAcentral lists this ribosomal RNA (519 nucleotides) under uncultured bacterium. Its description in RNAcentral is "partial 16S ribosomal RNA". It matches the Rfam family "Bacterial small subunit ribosomal RNA", at positions 29 to 523 of the family's 1533-position model. The record is from RNAcentral.